RNAcentral lists this unclassified non-coding RNA (276 nucleotides) under Hevea brasiliensis (rubber tree). Lineage: Eukaryota; Viridiplantae; Streptophyta; Magnoliopsida; Malpighiales; Euphorbiaceae. The record is from RNAcentral.
CAGGAGGCGUGAGUUCACAUAUGGAAGGAAGACGGUUUUAAGAAUUGCAAAAGCUACUGGCCGAAGUAGACGCAUAUGCAGGUCCCCAAUAUUGCUCCACUUAUAAGAAACUGUAAAGCUUUUCAACUUGAGGAAACCAGCUAGCUUAUUCAUUAAAAUUUGUGGCGAACAUGAAGAUCUAAUUACCAAUGACACACAUGCAACUGGAAUAACUUCAUCAGCAUCCAAAACAUUAACUAUCACAUCUAGAUAUAUGGUUCCAUCAAGGUUGUUCUC